UACAGAGGUCUCAAGCGUUGUUCGGAUUCAUUGGGCGUAAAGAGCUCGUAGGCGGUGUGUCGCGUCGGCCGUGAAAACCUGCAGCUUAACUGUGGGCUUGCGGUCGAUACGGGCAUCACUGGAGUUCGGCAGGGGAGACUGGAAUUCCUGGUGUAGCGGUGAAAUGCGCAGAUAUCAGGAGGAACACCGGUGGCGAAGGCGGGUCUCUGGGCCGAUACUGACGCUGAGGAGCGAAAGCGUGGGGAGCGAACAGG
Molecule: ribosomal RNA, 254 nt
Filed under: uncultured bacterium
Lineage: Bacteria
Description: partial 16S ribosomal RNA
Rfam family: Bacterial small subunit ribosomal RNA
Source: RNAcentral